This is a long non-coding RNA of Capsicum annuum, 441 nucleotides long. RefSeq lists it as uncharacterized. The record is from RefSeq and is a predicted model, not a curated record. The transcript has 2 exons. Lineage: Eukaryota; Viridiplantae; Streptophyta; Magnoliopsida; Solanales; Solanaceae.
AUUAAAAAGAACACAUAUAUUACAAAUUAUGAAUUUCACAAAGGUUUUAACAUUGUUAUUUUUCCUUAUUAUGAUUUUUGUAGCAAAUAGUAAUGCCGAAACUAGUGUAGAAUGUGCAGAAAAAUGUGCUGCCGGAUGUCUCUUCGAUCCUGGUUGUACAUCACGUUGUCUUGAUAAGAUUUGCCAUCCUCGUCCUCCUUCUUCUAGAGCAUUAAUCAAUUGUAAGCUUGCUUGUUCAGUGAAACGUUGCUCCAAAUUUAAACAUGAUAAGGAGCUAAUGAGAAGCUGCUGGAAUGAAUGUUCAGCAAAACAUUGCUCUUAGUUAGAGAGGCGUGUACUUAUGCUGAUUGUUUAGCAAUAGCAAAUUAGAAAAUAAACUUGACGGAUCAAAUAUAAUCAAGAUUUACGUUAUUAAUGAAGUUCUAUUUUUGAAUAUUUCAA